AGAGUUUGAUCCCCGCUCAGAACGAACGCUGGCGGCAUGCCUAACACAUGCAAGUCGAACGAACCCUUCGGGGUGAGUGGCGCACGGGUGCGUAACGCGUGGGAACCUGCCUUUAGGUUCGGAAUAACUCAGAGAAAUUUGAGCUAAUACCGGAUAAUGUCUUCGGACCAAAGAUUUAUCGCCUUUAGAUGGGCCCGCGUUAGAUUAGAUAGUUGGUGGGGUAACGGCCUACCAAGUCGACGAUCUAUAGCUGGUCUGAGAGGAUGAUCAGCCACACUGGGACUGAGACACGGCCCAGACUCCUACGGGAGGCAGCAGUGGGGAAUAUUGGACAAUGGGCGAAAGCCUGAUCCAGCAAUGCCGCGUGAGUGAUGAAGGCCUUAGGGUUGUAAAGC
RNAcentral lists this ribosomal RNA (395 nucleotides) under Erythrobacter sp. HJ239. Its description in RNAcentral is "bacterial SSU rRNA". It matches the Rfam family "Bacterial small subunit ribosomal RNA", at positions 8 to 431 of the family's 1533-position model. The record is from RNAcentral. Lineage: Bacteria; Pseudomonadati; Pseudomonadota; Alphaproteobacteria; Sphingomonadales; Erythrobacteraceae.